This 253-nucleotide ribosomal RNA is filed under the name uncultured bacterium. Its description in RNAcentral is "partial 16S ribosomal RNA". It matches the Rfam family "Bacterial small subunit ribosomal RNA", at positions 524 to 776 of the family's 1533-position model. The record is from RNAcentral.
UACGAAGGGGGCUAGCGUUGCUCGGAAUUCCUGGGCGUAAAGCGCACGUAGGCGGCUUGUUAAGUCAGGGGUGAAAUCCUGGAGCUCAACUCCAGAACUGCCUUUGAUACUGGCGAGCUUGAGUUCGGGAGAGGUGAGUGGAACUGCGAGAGUAGAGGUGAAAUUCGUAGAUAUUCGCAAGAACACCAGUGGCGAAGGCGGCUCACUGGCCCGAUACUGACGCUGAGGUGCGAAAGCCAGGGGAGCGAACGGG